UUAGCGGCGGACGGGUGAGUAACACGUGGGUAACCUACCUAUAAGACUGGAAUAACUCCGGGAAACCGGGGCUAAUGCCGGAUAAUAUUUAGAACCGCAUGGUUCUAAAGUGAAAGAUGGUUUUGCUAUCACUUAUAGAUGGACCCGCGCCGUAUUAGCUAGUUGGUGGGGUAAUGGCUUACCAAGGCAACGAUACGUAGCCGACCUGAGAGGGUGAUCGGCCACACUGGAACUGAGACACGGUCCAGACUCCUACGGGAGGCAGCAGUAGGGAAUCUUCCGCAAUGGGCGAAAGCCUGACGGAGCAACGCCGCGUGAGUGAUGAAGGUCUUCGGAUCGUAAAACUCUGUUAUUAGGGAAGAACAAAUGUGUAAGUAACUGUGCACGUCUUGACGGUACCUAAUCAGAAAGCCACGGCUAACUACGUGCCAGCAGC
Molecule: ribosomal RNA, 436 nt
Filed under: Staphylococcus nepalensis
Lineage: Bacteria; Bacillati; Bacillota; Bacilli; Caryophanales; Staphylococcaceae
Description: bacterial SSU rRNA
Rfam family: Bacterial small subunit ribosomal RNA
Source: RNAcentral